CUAAUACUCUCUCCGUCUGGAAUUACUUGUCAUCAAAAUGGAUAAAAAUGAAUGUAUCUGGAACUAAAAAAUAUUUGGAUACAUCCAUUUCAAUGACAAGUAUUUCCGGACGGAGGGAGUACAUU
Molecule: non-coding RNA, 125 nt
Organism: Triticum aestivum (bread wheat)
Lineage: Eukaryota; Viridiplantae; Streptophyta; Magnoliopsida; Poales; Poaceae
Source: Rfam